UACGGAGGGAGCUAGCGUUGUUCGGAAUUACUGGGCGUAAAGCGCGCGUAGGCGGCUUUGUAAGUUAGAGGUGAAAGCCCGGGGCUCAACCCCGGAACUGCCUUUAAGACUGCAUCGCUUGAAUCCGGGAGAGGUGAGUGGAAUUCCCGGUGUAGAGGUGAAAUUCGUAGAUAUCGGGAGGAACACCGGUGGCGAAGGCGGCGACCUGGGUCGAGACUGACGCUGAGGCGCGAAAGCGUGGGGAGCAAACAGG
Molecule: ribosomal RNA, 253 nt
Filed under: uncultured bacterium
Lineage: Bacteria
Description: partial 16S ribosomal RNA
Rfam family: Bacterial small subunit ribosomal RNA
Source: RNAcentral